CAAUAGCGUAUGUUAAAGUUGUUGCAGUUAAAAAGCUCGUAGUUGGAUUUGUGGUGUACUUCGGCGGCCCGUCACUAUGUGAUGGAGCUUGCUGAAGUCGCCAUCCUUGGGUGGAUCCUGUGUGGCAUUAAGUUGUCGUGCAGGGGAUGCCCAUCGUUUACUGUGAAAAAAUUAGAGUGUUCAAAGCAGGCUUAUGCCGUUGAAUAUGUUAGCAUGGAAUAAUAAGAUAGGACCUUGGUACUAUUUUGUUGGUUUGCGCACCAAGGUAAUGAUUAAUAGGGACAGUUGGGGGUAUUCGUAUUUCAUUGUCAGAGGUGAAAUUCUUGGAUUUUUGAAAGACGAACUACUGCGAAAGCAUUUACCAAGGAUGUUUUCAUUAA
RNAcentral lists this ribosomal RNA (380 nucleotides) under uncultured eukaryote. RNAcentral describes it as "partial 18S ribosomal RNA". It matches the Rfam family "Eukaryotic small subunit ribosomal RNA", at positions 592 to 976 of the family's 1831-position model. The record is from RNAcentral.